Molecule: transfer RNA, 76 nt
Filed under: Lachnospiraceae bacterium
Lineage: Bacteria; Bacillati; Bacillota; Clostridia; Lachnospirales; Lachnospiraceae
Also listed under: 1 other name
Description: tRNA-Arg
Rfam family: tRNA
About the family: Transfer RNA (tRNA) molecules are approximately 80 nucleotides in length. Their secondary structure includes four short double-helical elements and three loops (D, anti-codon, and T loops).
Source: RNAcentral
UGUGUCCGUAGCUCAGCUGGAUAGAGCAACGGCCUUCUAAGCCGUGGGUCGGGGGUUCGAAUCCCUUCGGGCACAU